GCAAGUCGAACGGGGUAGCAAUACCCAGUGGCAGACGGGUGAGUAACACGUGGUCAACCUACCUCUGUGUGGGGGAUAACUAGCCGAAAGGUUAGCUAAUACCGCAUACGAUCGCUCUGGGGCAUCCCUAAGCGAUGAAAGGAGCAAUCCGCACGGAGAGGGGACUGCGUCCCAUUAGUUAGUUGGCGGGGUAAUGGCCCACCAAGGCAAAGAUCGGUAUCCGGCCUGAGAGGGCGCACGGACACACUGGAACUGAAACACGGUCCAGACUCCUACGGGAGGCAGCAGUGGGGAAUUUUGCGCAAUGGGGGAAACCCUGACGCAGCAACGCCGCGUGGAGGAUGAAGUCCCUUGGGACGUANACUCCUUUCGACCGGGACGAUAAUGACGGUACCGGUGGAAGAAGCACCGGCUAACUCUGUG
Molecule: ribosomal RNA, 423 nt
Filed under: uncultured bacterium
Lineage: Bacteria
Description: bacterial SSU rRNA
Rfam family: Bacterial small subunit ribosomal RNA
Source: RNAcentral